AAAACAUCGCUCUCUGAUAUAAAGCUUAUUUAAGAAUAUAGAGAGUCGGGCCUGCCCAGUGACAUUAGAUGUUAAACGGCCGCGGUACCCUGACCGUGCAAAGGUAGCAUAAUCACUUGCCUUUUGAUUGAGGGCUAGUAUGAAUGGCUUGACGAGAGCUGGACUGUCUCUUUUUAAAUUUAUAAAAAUUAACUUUUAGGUGAAGAGGCCUAAAUUCAACUGAGUGACGAAAAGACCCUAUUGAGCUUUAGUUAAUUAACAAAAUUUUAACAUUAGUUUUUUCGCACUUGGAUCUGCAUAUAUGUUUUGUUAAAAAUCUUUAGUUGGGGUGACUUAGGAGUAAAAAAAACUUCCUUUAAUUACUUAAGUAUGCAAGGUAUUCAUACUGAUUUUAUAGAUCCAGUAUUUACUGAUCAAAGGAAAAAGUUACCAUAGGGAUAACAGCGUUAUCUUUCUGGAGAGUUCUUAUUGAAGGAAAGGUUUACGACCUCGAUGUUGGACUAAGAUAUCCUAGAGGUGCAGAAGCUUCUGAUGGUUAGUCUGUUCGACUAUUAAAAUCUUACGUGAUCUGAGUUCAGA
RNAcentral lists this ribosomal RNA (579 nucleotides) under Tegula funebralis. RNAcentral's name for it is "Chlorostoma funebralis partial 16S ribosomal RNA". It matches the Rfam family "Bacterial large subunit ribosomal RNA", at positions 1810 to 2615 of the family's 2925-position model. The record is from RNAcentral. Lineage: Eukaryota; Metazoa; Mollusca; Gastropoda; Trochida; Tegulidae.